Molecule: ribosomal RNA, 433 nt
Filed under: uncultured bacterium
Lineage: Bacteria
Description: partial 16S ribosomal RNA
Rfam family: Bacterial small subunit ribosomal RNA
Source: RNAcentral
GGCGAACGCUGGCGGCGGGCCUAACACAUGCAAGUCGAACGAACAGACCGGGGUUGGGGGCCUCCGGCGUAGGCAGACGACGGGAGGGGCCCUUUGGGGUAGCCUAACUCUGAGAAACGUGUACCAUUACCGAACGUGCCCUUCUGCCGGAUGAUUUAUCGCAAUUCGUGCUGCCCGCGUCUCAUUAGCUUGUUGGUGAGGUUACGGCUCAUCAAGGGCCCGAUCAGCAGCUGGGUUGAGAGGAUGACCAGCCACACUGGGACUGAGACGCGGCCCAGACUCCUACGGGAGGCAGCAGUGGGUAAUCGUGCGCAAUGGGCGAAAGCCUGACGCAGCCAGGCCGCGAGAAUGAUGAAGGUAUUAGGAUUGUAAAAUUCUUUCACCGGGGACGAUAAUGACGGUACCCGGAGAAGAAGCCCCGGCUAACUUCGUG